UCACUGCCCACACAGCCUCACCAGCAGCCACUCUGACCUGAAGGGUCAUGGAAACCCUCUCACAGACAGUGUGGCUGGAACAUUUCAAAUACACCUUGGAUGCAGGUAUGGCUCCUCACCAGCAUUUCUUCCUUGAAAGCAGCAGAGCUUCUCUCUUACCUUCCUGGGGUUCUAUAUACAACAAUGCAUGUUGCUUAGCAACACAGCUUCCUUUUAAGAUGCUCUUUUGUCAUUUCAAAGCCUCCAUGCCAGAAGUUCUUUAAAUAGUCUGAACUCAUACUAGCUUCCUCAGUUUGCCUCUUUUCCUUUUUAUCUGCCUGGUUUCCUUCCAUUGCAAGGUUAAUAUCUGUGUCCAGCCAAACCAAGACCAACAGAAAUGCAACUUCCAGUGAUCAGUCAAGCUUCUCUGUGACUGUCAGACUGCAGGGCAGACUGACAGCACUGCCCCAGCACCCCCUGUGACCUGACAGCCACCCUGAAUGCAGUGAUGGAGAAAAAAAUCUGCCUAGCACUUGGGAACAGCAAACAGCAGCAUGCAGAAGAGGAGCAGAACUGAGCAUGGGAAGUGAAUCAGCCUGCAACAGCCUUGGCUGUGGCUGUCACAGAGGAUCUGCAGCCUGCCUAAGCCCAUGAGCCAUUUGUAAUUGGCUCAGCCUUGGCCAGCAGCACAUCCAUCUGGAGCCUCCUGCACUGGAUCUGCUGGGCAUGAAGGAAGAUUCUGGCAGCUUCUCACAGAAGCCAUCCCUGUACCACCCCCACUACCAAAACCAGUCUGUGCAAAUCCAGUUCACAGGGACACACCAAGACUUAGCUUUUGAGCAUUAACAUGGAAAAUGGCAGCUAAACAAGGAGCAGGCAUAGCAAUCAAACUCUUUCAGAACUGUUUGUGACCAGCUGCAGAGCAAGCAGGAUUUCCAGCAAACACAGAACUGGCUGGGGAAAAGGCAGAGUUAUCAGUGGAAUGUGGAGUCAGCUUUUCAGCUUGUCCUCAUAUUAAGAUAAGCUAUUUACUUUUGUAUACUAUAAAUUAAAGAGGAGGAAAUAAAACCCAGCCAAUCAGGCUGGCACAGAAGCCUCCUAGUACCAAACAAAUACAGCAGCAGGGCGCUGGCUCUGUGGCCUCUUGGUGCCUGCCAGCCCCAGCAGUCCACCCAGCAGGUUUAGGCAAGUAUGCAAAAUGGAGUGAGCUCUGCACUGCUGGAAGCUUCCCUCCCACCUCGUGGGCUCCUGCUCUCUCCUCAGCUGCCUGCAGGACUGAGCUCAGCGUGGCUCAGGUGAACCCUGAAAUCAGCUCCAGCUACCAGCACAGCUGUGGCCUUCAUACAUGGUUUCAGAGCCAAAGGCACUGAUUUUGUGCAAAUCCUUGGCACCAGAGAAGCUGAGGUGUCUUCACCUUCCUGGGUGCUGACCUUGAUGCACUCCACAUGGCAUCUUGAUUACUUGAAGCUUCCCUGAUUGAGUACAGGAUCUGUAUCAGCUCUGUCAGGCUGAGACAUAUUUUCUGAGCCCAGUAAGUUUUCCUCAUGCCUGUUUCUCCUCAGUGGUGGAGAAAGAGUGCCACUUAAGGCAACAAAGCUGUCGAGCUAAUAACUGAG
This is a long non-coding RNA of Passer domesticus (house sparrow), 1595 nucleotides long. RefSeq lists it as uncharacterized. The transcript is spliced from 3 exons. The record is from RefSeq and is a predicted model, not a curated record. NCBI's taxonomy places the organism in Eukaryota, Metazoa, Chordata, Aves, Passeriformes, Passeridae.